GGCGGGGGCGGGGCGGGGCCGCGCAGCGUCUGACGCCGCGGCUGCCGAGCUGCUUGGGAUUAAUGGGAAAAGUUUUGGCAGGAGCUGGAGGUUCCUGCGGAGCCUGCGGGACGGCGGCGGCGGCGGCGGCGCGGGAGGCGGCCGGGACAGUGUCGCGUGGUGGUGUGGGCAUGUGCGUGGUACUCACACAGUGGCUUCUGCUUACCAACAGAUGAGGACAGAUGCACCAAAGAGGUAAUCCUGUUUCCUUAACUCUGGGUCCUCUGACAAUUCACUGACACAUCCCAGAUUUAGGAUCCUGGCCUAGAAGAUGAAAUAAUUUUACAGGGG
RNAcentral lists this long non-coding RNA (330 nucleotides) under Dasypus novemcinctus (nine-banded armadillo). RNAcentral's name for it is "lncRNA (ENSDNOG00000051917.1)". Lineage: Eukaryota; Metazoa; Chordata; Mammalia; Cingulata; Dasypodidae. The record is from RNAcentral.